This 495-nucleotide ribosomal RNA is filed under the name uncultured bacterium. Its description in RNAcentral is "partial 16S ribosomal RNA". It matches the Rfam family "Bacterial small subunit ribosomal RNA", at positions 28 to 505 of the family's 1533-position model. The record is from RNAcentral.
GACGAACGCUGGCGGCGUGCCUAAUACAUGCAAGUAGAACGCUGAAGAGAGGAGCUUGCUCUUCUUGGAUGAGUUGCGAACGGGUGAGUAACGCGUAGGUAACCUGCCUUGUAGCGGGGGAUAACUAUUGGAAACGAUAGCUAAUACCGCAUAACAAUGGAUGACACAUGUCAUUUAUUUGAAAGGGGCAAUUGCUCCACUACAAGAUGGACCUGCGUUGUAUUAGCUAGUAGGUGAGGUAACGGCUCACCUAGGCGACGAUACAUAGCCGACCUGAGAGGGUGAUCGGCCACACUGGGACUGAGACACGGCCCAGACCCCUACGGGAGGCAGCAGUAGGGAAUCUUCGGCAAUGGGGGCAACCCUGACCGAGCAACGCCGCGUGAGUGAAGAAGGUUUUCGGAUCGUAAAGCUCUGUUGUAAGUCAAGAACGAGUGUGAGAGUGGAAAGUUCACACUGUGACGGUAGCUUACCAGAAAGGGACGGCUAACUACG